CGGCGGACGCUGGAAAUGACGAAUUAAUUCAGGUGGUUUGUGGCGGAGCCGAUUUUUAUCCGUGCCGGAGGAACCCAGCGGAAAAUGGAGGCUGCAAGCAGCAAUUACGUGCUCGGCGUUGGCAAGGAGGAGGAUUCGCUUCGGAGGGGAAAAACCAACACCCAGCAAUUUUUGGCCCAGGUCUCCACCUUGUUUAUUCACCUGAGGACUGAGCGAGUUUUUCCUGCCCUGACCUGGUUUCUCAAGGAGGAUGAGAUGAUUAAACCCAGAUGAUCAAUCCUCUUAUGAGUGGCCCAGCUAUGAGGAACAACCUCAGGAAGAAGAUGCAGCUGAAUUAGUCUCAUUUCUUUGCAAACCCACUGGAUUUGAUGACCUCAAAGGUCUUUUCCAGCCUAAACAACCCCAGAAUUUUGUGACUUUCAAGAUGCAUCCAUCUGGGAGCUUUUUAUUUCCUGGCUGAACCCCAGGUGGUUUCCAUGUGGGCUGAGGACAUCCCUGUGGAUGGGGGCUCCUGCAGAAAUCCUUUUGGGGUUCUCAUUCUAAAUCCCUUUGGAAAAAUCCUUUGCAAUGCUGACCUCUGCAGGCUGAGGGACUGCUGAAAACCCCGGGCAGCAAUAACCUAAAUAAUGCAUGAACCAGGUGUUUUACUGCUGCUGGCUGUGGGUAGGAAAAGCCUAUCAUAAAAUAAAAAAAAACUUAUAAAUAAUGCAUUAAAA
Melospiza melodia melodia is the source of this 716-nucleotide long non-coding RNA. RefSeq lists it as uncharacterized. NCBI's taxonomy places the organism in Eukaryota, Metazoa, Chordata, Aves, Passeriformes, Passerellidae. The transcript is spliced from 5 exons. The record is from RefSeq and is a predicted model, not a curated record.